This 1470-nucleotide ribosomal RNA is filed under the name metagenome. Its description in RNAcentral is "bacterial SSU rRNA". It matches the Rfam family "Bacterial small subunit ribosomal RNA". The record is from RNAcentral.
AGAGUUUGAUCCUGGCUCAGGACGAACGCUGGCGGCACGCUUAACACAUGCAAGUCGAACGAGAGAAGAGGAGCUUGCUUUUCUGAUCUAGUGGCGGACGGGUGAGUAACACGUGAGCAAUCUGCCUUUCAGAGGGGGAUACCGAUUGGAAACGAUCGUUAAUACCGCAUAACAUAAUUGAACCGCAUGAUUUGAUUAUCAAAGAUUUAUCGCUGAAAGAUGAGCUCGCGUCUGAUUAGCUAGUUGGUAAGGUAACGGCUUACCAAGGCGACGAUCAGUAGCCGGACUGAGAGGUUGAUCGGCCACAUUGGGACUGAGACACGGCCCAGACUCCUACGGGAGGCAGCAGUGGGGAAUAUUGCACAAUGGAGGAAACUCUGAUGCAGCGAUGCCGCGUGAGGGAAGAAGGUUUUAGGAUUGUAAACCUCUGUCUUCAGGGACGAAAAAAGACGGUACCUGAGGAGGAAGCUCCGGCUAACUACGUGCCAGCAGCCGCGGUAAUACGUAGGGAGCGAGCGUUGUCCGGAAUUACUGGGUGUAAAGGGAGCGUAGGCGGGAUCGCAAGUCAGAUGUGAAAACUAUGGGCUUAACCCAUAAACUGCAUUUGAAACUGUGGUUCUUGAGUGAAGUAGAGGUAAGCGGAAUUCCUAGUGUAGCGGUGAAAUGCGUAGAUAUUAGGAGGAACAUCAGUGGCGAAGGCGGCUUACUGGGCUUUAACUGACGCUGAGGCUCGAAAGCGUGGGGAGCAAACAGGAUUAGAUACCCUGGUAGUCCACGCCGUAAACGAUGAUUACUAGGUGUGGGGGGACUGACCCCUUCCGUGCCGCAGCAAACGCAGUAAGUAAUCCACCUGGGGAGUACGACCGCAAGGUUGAAACUCAAAGGAAUUGACGGGGGCCCGCACAAGCAGUGGAGUAUGUGGAUUAAUUCGAAGCAACGCGAAGAACCUUACCAGGUCUUGACAUCGUAUGCAUAGCUCAGAGAUGAGUGAAAUCUCUUCGGAGACAUAUAGACAGGUGGUGCAUGGUUGUCGUCAGCUCGUGUCGUGAGAUGUUGGGUUAAGUCCCGCAACGAGCGCAACCCUUACUGUUAGUUGCUACGCAAGAGCACUCUAGCAGGACUGCCGUUGACAAAACGGAGGAAGGUGGGGAUGACGUCAAAUCAUCAUGCCCCUUAUGACCUGGGCCUCACACGUACUACAAUGGCUGUCAACAGAGGGAAGCAAAGCCGCGAGGUGGAGCGAACCCCUAAAAGCAGUCUUAGUUCGGAUUGUAGGCUGCAACCCGCCUACAUGAAGUCGGAAUUGCUAGUAAUCGCAGAUCAGCAUGCUGCGGUGAAUACGUUCCCGGGCCUUGUACACACCGCCCGUCACGCCAUGGGAGUCGGUAACACCCGAAGCCUGUAGUCUAACCGCAAGGAGGACGCAGUCGAAGGUGGGAUUGAUGACUGGGGUGAAGUCGUAACAAGGUA